RNAcentral lists this long non-coding RNA (2198 nucleotides) under Vigna radiata. Its description in RNAcentral is "long non-coding RNA (VRAD_LNC009087)". Lineage: Eukaryota; Viridiplantae; Streptophyta; Magnoliopsida; Fabales; Fabaceae. The record is from RNAcentral.
CCGUGUGCUUUAACCUUUAUAACAUUUUUAUUUUUAAAAUAUUUUUGAAUUUUUUAAUACUUUUUCUCAAUAUAAAAAUAUAAUAAUAUUUAAGUGAAUAGGUACAUAAAAGUCUAAAAUACAUAACAUGGGGGUAGAACUAGUAACUAUUGGGUGCACAAAAGAGAGCUAGGCAAACAUAUAAACAUAUAAUAAAAACAGGGGUGCACCAAGUAAUUAAAGCAAAUAAAAAAGUUUGCAGAAAUGGAAAAGGGCUUAAGCCCAAAACACACAAAAAGAAUAUGGAGGUGUUAAGAUGAGAAAUUGGGGUGCGGAUGAGAAUAGGGUUUAAUAUUUUUUCCUUUUAAAAGAACCUGGAUCAGAAGCUUAGCCCCAUGCCUUUUUUCUUGUUUGCGAAAAUGGAGGGGGGAUGCGAAGACGAGAAACAGGGGUGGAAAAGGGGCAAAGUUUUUUAAUUAUUGUUUUUUAAAAAAGGAAAAGGAACUGGGCCAUGGGCCCAAGAGUCCUUCACCAGAAACAUUAGGGGUUUGUCCAGAUCUCCCCCAUUCCUCCAUUUCACUCAAAUGAGACCUAGGGUCUCCUUCUCUGGGCAAGAAAACCCGGAGGCGCUCACCUCCACUGUUAGAUCUCAAUCCGAACGGCCACCGAGAGCCACCGUCCGCGGCGUCACCAGUGCCUUCGCCGGAAGGUCCACCGCCCUUCACGCCGGAGCACCAUCUCGUCCUCUCUUCUUCGCGCGAAACCGGCCCCGACUCCGAUAUCUCAUCGCUCCCGCCGCCGUCGACGAAACCAACGUCCAGAAGCCGUGAGCCAAGGCCGCCCCGGUGACGCUGCUCGUCGCCGGCCGCCAGGUUUUUUCCUUUUCUUCUUCGCGUGUGAGGGAGGAACGCCGGCCACCGCUUGAGCGAAUCCAGCCGCCGCGGGCUACAAGCCGGAACGCCGCCGGUCACCGCGUCAAGGACGAAAGCGUUUUUCCUUCUCUUCUUCUCAUUCUUUUUUAAACGCCACUUGCUGAUUGGUUCCUCUGUUGAUUGGUGUUUGUUCUGCUGGGAUUGGAAACGGUGAGGGUGUGUUGAUUGGUUCCUCUGUUGAUUGGUGUAAGAGCCUACUUUGUGCUGGGUAUUCUGUCUUUGCAGGUAAGGGGACUUGGAGUUUGGUGAUUUGAGGUGAAUAGAGGCAAGGGGACCUAGUUUCGUUAUCUGAUUUGGUUGUCACUGUCGUGAUUGAUUCUUUCUUAUUGCAGGAAAACGGCAUUGGGGAUUUCAGUAGAAUAAGUCAAUGUUGAAGAUGAUAAUAGGAUUGUGUGUGGGAGACAUUAGUUUGUUUGUGGUGAGGCUUAGGAUGGGUGGAAAACAGUAUGCGAAGCCAUAUCAUCAUCAAAUCAAGUGGCAACAAAUAGGAGCAUAUAUCACGCAACAUGAACAGUAUGCGAAGCCAGAUCAUCAUCAAAUAGAAACGUAUAGAAGCAUAUAUCACCCAGCAGAAACAUAGAAUAACUAUUUACCAUCCAAGAAUGCAGACAUUUAUAGCAACGAAGCUCCAAGAAGAGGAACUUACCUCUCGCGUUUAUGCUUUCUCUAUUUUACAAGUGAAGAAUUGUUGCCAGAUAAUGGUCGAUGUUGGAGGUGAUGAUAACAGAAAACGCGGUAGAGGUUGGGAUGUGGGGAUGGUUUUUUUUUUCUGACGAGGAAGUUGCUGAGAAGUUCUGUUGAGUGAAUGGAGUUGAGAGUAGUGUCUGUGUGUGAGUGAUGGAUGGAUUUUUGAAUCACCGGUUGAUUUUUCUUUUCAGUCUUUUGAACCUUGCGUGAGAACUCAGAGGGCAGCACAGCCUCCUGACACUCCAAUGCCUCAUGCAACCCUAUUGCCAGCAUUUCUUCUUACCGCAACUGGCUAAAGCUGUCUAUUGCUUCUUCUGCAGCAUAGGUCUGAGCCAAAGAUUUUCACGAAAAAAUGAUAGAUGUCUGAUUGGCAAAGAUUUAAGACCAAAAGAAAGAAAAAUGUUGAUAGCAUUGGAAAUAGAAAUGAACGUUAAGUGCUCUGAUCACAUUUUUGUUUUUUUUUUUCAUUUUCUCGUUUUUUUCUUUUCUUCAUUUUUUUUUUCUUUUCCUUUCUUUUUUCUUUUUUCGUUUUCCUCUUUUCUUUUAUCUUUUUUUCCUUUUUUAGUAUUCCUAAUUGUUUUUCUUUUCUUUUUUCCUUUU